RNAcentral lists this ribosomal RNA (443 nucleotides) under uncultured bacterium. Its description in RNAcentral is "partial 16S ribosomal RNA". It matches the Rfam family "Bacterial small subunit ribosomal RNA", at positions 338 to 795 of the family's 1533-position model. The record is from RNAcentral.
CCUACGGGAGGCAGCAGUGGGGAAUAUUGGGCAAUGGGCGCAAGCCUGACCCAGCAACGCCGCGUGAAGGAAGAAGGCUUUCGGGUUGUAAACUUCUUUUCUGAGGGACGAAGAAAGUGACGGUACCUCAGGAAUAAGCCACCGCUAACUACGUGCCAGCAGCCGCGGUAAUACGUAGGUGGCAAGCGUUAUCCGGAUUUAUUGGGUGUAAAGGGCGUGUAGGCGGGAAAGCAAGUCAGAUGUGAAAACUCAGAGCUCAAACCUGAGCCUGCUUUUGAAACUGGUUUUCUUGAGUGAUGGAGAGGCAAACGGAAUUCCGAGUGUAGCGGUGGAAUGCGUAGAUAUACGGAAGAACACCAGUGGCGAAGGCAGAUUACUGGACAGUCACUGACGCUGAGGCGCGAAAGCGUGGGGAGCAAACAGGAUUAGAUACCCGUGUAGUC